ACGUAGGUGGCAAGCGUUGUCCGGAAUUACUGGGUGUAAAGGGAGCGUAGGCGGUUUGAUAAGUUGAAUGUGAAAUCUAUCGGCUCAACUGAUAGGCUGCGUUCAAAACUAUUGAACUUGAGUGAAGUAGAGGCAGGCGGAAUUCCCGGUGUAGCGGUGGAAUGCGUAGAUAUCGGGAGGAACACCAGUGGCGAAGGCGGCCUGCUGGGCUUUUACUGACGCUGAGGCUCGAAAGCAUGGGGAGCAAACAG
Molecule: ribosomal RNA, 251 nt
Filed under: uncultured prokaryote
Description: partial 16S rRNA
Rfam family: Bacterial small subunit ribosomal RNA
Source: RNAcentral